UACCGCAUAUUCUGUGAGCAGGAAAGACGAGGGGAUCGCAAGACCUUGCGCUGAUUGAGCGGCCGAUAUCAGAUUAGCUAGUUGGUGAGGUAAAGGCUCACCAAGGCGACGAUCUGUAGCGGGUCUGAGAGGAUGAUCCGCCACACUGGAACUGAGACACCGGUCCAGACUCCUACGGGAGGCAGCAGUGGGGAAUUUUUGGACAAUGGGCGCAAGCCUGAUCCAGCCAUGCCGCGUGAGUGAAGAAGGCCUUCGGGUUGUAAAGCUCUUUCAGCCGGGAAGAAAACGCAUGGGUUAAUACCCUGUGUGGAUGACGGUACCGGAAUAAGAAGCACCGGCUAACUACGUG
This 349-nucleotide ribosomal RNA is filed under the name uncultured bacterium. RNAcentral's name for it is "bacterial SSU rRNA". It matches the Rfam family "Bacterial small subunit ribosomal RNA", at positions 167 to 507 of the family's 1533-position model. The record is from RNAcentral.